GAGGAAAAAGCAUAAAAUAUGCGGUUGACUUGAAAUCGACAGAUGGUGGUUAAAAUCUG
This 59-nucleotide transfer RNA is filed under the name Chilabothrus argentum (Conception Bank silver boa). Its description in RNAcentral is "tRNA-Ser". The record is from RNAcentral. Lineage: Eukaryota; Metazoa; Chordata; Lepidosauria; Squamata; Boidae.